This 88-nucleotide small nucleolar RNA is filed under the name Sorex araneus (European shrew). RNAcentral's name for it is "Small nucleolar RNA SNORA72 (ENSSARG00000018602.1)". It matches the Rfam family "Small nucleolar RNA SNORA72", at positions 1 to 92 of the family's 132-position model. Rfam says of the family: U72 is a member of the H/ACA class of snoRNAs. The snoRNA gene is located in intron 4 of the ribosomal L30 protein gene in human, mouse and chicken. The record is from RNAcentral. Lineage: Eukaryota; Metazoa; Chordata; Mammalia; Eulipotyphla; Soricidae.
CUGCAAAUAUUAUCAUUGUUCUGAUUUUGUAAUAAUUGGGGUAGGCUAAACAUUUGCAUGUGUCCAUGCAUGUGUAAGUAAGAUCACA